UGGCUCUGUUAUUUUAAGAGUAGUGGAGAGAAGGUGUUUGGUUCAGUAAUGCUGCCA
RNAcentral lists this small nucleolar RNA (57 nucleotides) under Capra hircus (goat). RNAcentral's name for it is "Small nucleolar RNA SNORD75 (ENSCHIG00000002974.1)". The record is from RNAcentral. Lineage: Eukaryota; Metazoa; Chordata; Mammalia; Artiodactyla; Bovidae.